UGGGGAAUUUUGGACAAUGGGGGAAACCCUGAUCCAGCCAUCCCGCGUGUGCGAUGAAGGCCUUCGGGUUGUAAAGCACUUUUGGCAGGAAAGAAACGUCGCGGGUUAAUACCCCGCGAAACUGACGGUACCUGCAGAAUAAGCACCGGCUAACUACGUGCCAGCAGCCGCGGUAAUACGUAGGGUGCAAGCGUUAAUCGGAAUUACUGGGCGUAAAGCGUGCGCAGGCGGUUCGGAAAGAAAGAUGUGAAAUCCCAGAGCUUAACUUUGGAACUGCAUUUUUAACUACCGGGCUAGAGUGUGUCAGAGGGAGGUGGAAUUCCGCGUGUAGCAGUGAAAUGCGUAGAUAUGCGGAGGAACACCGAUGGCGAAGGCAGCCUCCUGGGAUAACACUGACGCUCAUGCACGAAAGCGUGGGGAGCAAACAGGAUUAGAUACCCUGGUAGUCCACGCCCUAAACGAUGUCAACUAGCUGUUGGGGCCUUCGGGCCUUGGUAGCGCAGCUAACGCGUGAAGUUGACCGCCUGGGGAGUNCGGUCGCAAGAUUAAAACUC
This 554-nucleotide ribosomal RNA is filed under the name uncultured bacterium. RNAcentral describes it as "partial 16S ribosomal RNA". It matches the Rfam family "Bacterial small subunit ribosomal RNA", at positions 355 to 902 of the family's 1533-position model. The record is from RNAcentral.